Molecule: microRNA, 24 nt
Filed under: Glycine max (soybean)
Lineage: Eukaryota; Viridiplantae; Streptophyta; Magnoliopsida; Fabales; Fabaceae
Description: gma-miR4356
Source: miRBase by way of RNAcentral
CAGGACUGUCUUAGAAAGCCAGGC